This 253-nucleotide ribosomal RNA is filed under the name uncultured bacterium. RNAcentral describes it as "partial 16S ribosomal RNA". It matches the Rfam family "Bacterial small subunit ribosomal RNA", at positions 524 to 776 of the family's 1533-position model. The record is from RNAcentral.
UACGAAGGGGGCUAGCGUUGCUCGGAAUCACUGGGCGUAAAGCGCACGUAGGCGGAUCUUUAAGUCAGGGGUGAAAUCCUGGAGCUCAACUCCAGAACUGCCUUUGAUACUGAGGAUCUUGAGUCCGGGAGAGGUGAGUGGAACUCCGAGUGUAGAGGUGAAAUUCGUAGAUAUUCGGAGGAACACCAGUGGCGAAGGCGGCUCACUGGCCCGGUACUGACGCUGAUAUACGAAAGCGUGGGGAGCAAACAGG